GAGUUUGAUCCUGGCUCAGGAUGAACGCUGGCGGCGUGCCUAACACAUGCAAGUCGAACGAAGCGAUUAGGAUGAAGUUUUCGGAUGGAUUCCUGGUUGACUGAGUGGCGGACGGGUGAGUAACGCGUGGAUAACCUGCCUCACACUGGGGGAUAACAGUUAGAAAUGGCUGCUAAUACCGCAUAAGCGCACAGUACCGCAUGGUACGGUGUGAAAAACCCAGGUGGUGUGAGAUGGAUCCGCGUCUGAUUAGCCAGUUGGCGGGGUAACGGCCCACCAAAGCGACGAUCAGUAGCCGACCUGAGAGGGUGACCGGCCACAUUGGGACUGAGACACGGCCCAAGCUCCUACGGGAGGCAGCAGUGGGGAAUAUUGCACAAUGGGCGGAAGCCUGAUGCAGCGACGCCGCGUGAGUGAAGAAGUAUCUCGGUAUGUAAAGCUCUAUCAGCAGGGAAGAAAAUGACGGUACCUGACUAAG
RNAcentral lists this ribosomal RNA (478 nucleotides) under uncultured bacterium. RNAcentral's name for it is "bacterial SSU rRNA". It matches the Rfam family "Bacterial small subunit ribosomal RNA", at positions 9 to 487 of the family's 1533-position model. The record is from RNAcentral.